UCCUCGAUGGUCUAGUGGUCAUGAUUUCCGCUUGUCAACCGCAAAGUAAACAAGCGCGGGAGACCUGGGUUCGAUUCCCAGUCGGGGAG
Non-coding RNA from Massariosphaeria phaeospora, 89 nucleotides. NCBI's taxonomy places the organism in Eukaryota, Fungi, Ascomycota, Dothideomycetes, Pleosporales. The record is from the annotation of a GenBank genome assembly.